RNAcentral lists this long non-coding RNA (13213 nucleotides) under Equus asinus (donkey). Its description in RNAcentral is "lncRNA (ENSEASG00005031567.1)". Lineage: Eukaryota; Metazoa; Chordata; Mammalia; Perissodactyla; Equidae. The record is from RNAcentral.
UUACAGUGUCAAAACAAUUUUUAAAUUUUAUUCAUAAUAUAUAGAUACAGUGCUGUAAAUGCUAGGUGUUACAGGCAUUUUUCAAACAUUAACUCCUUUAGUACUCCCCAUGGCCUUACAAAGUAGGUACGCUUAUCAUUACUGUCAACUGACAGAUGAAGAAACUGAGGUACCAACAAGGUAAGUAACUUGAUCAAUACAAAUAACCAGUAAGCGAUUGAGUUGGAGUUUGAACAUAAGAUGUCGGCUCAUAUUCUAUGCUCUUAACCAUGAUAUUUAAUCUCUAAAGACUUCACAUCAUGAAAAAAUUGGAUCAAUUUAUCCAUUUUCUUGAUAUAUCCCAUAGCCACACUAUUUUGUCUGAAUAAUACCUAUAGAGAAACUAUUGUACAUACACACCCAAAUUACUUCUGCCAGCAUCCCCACUUCCUAAAAGUUAAUACAGAGAACAUUUCAAAACAUUUCUUGUCCUGGCUGGGAGGACUCUGAGAAAAUCUCAUUGUUCAUCUAAUUAGCCAAGGGCUGGCUGGGAGUUGGGUCUCAGGGGAAAGGUGACCUCAGGAGAACCACUGAAUUACCAAAUUGCUGGGAGGAUCUCAGCAGUAACUGAAUUCAGGAUCUGGUGGUGUUUCAACCUGGGUGCCUGGUGUAACCAGGAUUUGCAUCUGCUUCAGACAAAGCAGACAGCCCUUCCUCAUGGACUCAACUUUAUCUAAAUGUGAUCAAGACAAAAGAAAUAAUGUCAUGCACCUCUGGAUGUGAGACUGUGCUGGGAGGUUCUGAAAGGCCUCACUGAGGUGAUUAUUUGCUGUAGCCAGAAUGACAAGUGUAAGCCACCCUUGCCUAUAUCUGGGAACAGUUAGCAUGUCAGGGAGAAGGUACCCCUGGUGCAGAGAUUCACAGGAAGAAGUGAGUUUGACCAGAGGAGGUCAGAAAGGUGGCAGGUGUGGCUGGAGGGAGCCUGAGAAGAGAGAGGAGGGUGAGAGGGCCAGAUCGUGGGACAUGGUGGACUGUGUUAGUUUCUGUUCCUCUAUGACAACAUUGCUCCAAAACCUUCCACCCAUAAGGAACAAACAGUUAACAUCCUGCACUUUCUGUGGGCCAGGCAUCAGGCAGAGCUUAGCUGGGUGCCUCAGCUUCAAAUUCUCUAUGAAGCAGGGGCUGCAGUCUCAACAGGGCUCAACUGGGGGAGGACUCCCACCCAAGAUCGCUGACAUGGGUGUUGUCAGGAUUCAUCUGGACUGAGAGUCUGAGUUCCUGCCUGUCUGUUGGCUGGGCACCCCCUCAGUUCUCUCCUAUGGAGCCUCUACACAGGGCAACUGAAAGCAUCGGUGCUUGCUCUCUCAGUUCCAGAGAUAAGACAGAGAGAGAGCUGCAAACAGGAGAGGAGGAGGGAACCCAAGAAUGCCUGUAAGAAGGAAGUGACAGGCUCUUCGUAAUUAAAACUUGGAAGUGACAUCCCAUCACCUUGGGGCAUUCUGUUGAUCAGAAGCCAGUUACUAACCACUUAGCUGUCACAUAAGGACGUGCACUCCAGGAGGCAGGGAGCACUGGGAGCCAUUGUGGAGGCUGCCCCACACACAGGCCGACAUGAGGCACUUGGGUCUGAUUCUAAGUAAAACAGGAGACCAUGGGAAACUUUUGCCAGUGGAUCACAAUAUAUGAAUUUCUUCUAAUUUCAACCCCUGAAAAGUGCAGACCUGAAAAUGAGGCCCAGGGGGGCAGUGACUGUCCCAAUCUUCCAUCUUCCAUCUCUAAGUUUCUGUAUCAGACACAUGUGACUCUAACCCACAGAAGUUAUAGGUAUUGUCACAUACACACCUGAUGAUGUGCCUAGGAAAUUGGUUUUAGCACCAUCUCCACUGUGCAGGUUGGGAGACUGGGGAGGCCAUGAGAGGCACAAAUGGCUUUUCCAGGACUCAGAAUUGGUAGGAAAAAAGAGGUCUGAACUCAGCUGUGUCUCCUCAAAGCUAGGGCCCUGGUCCCAUUCCCAGAGCGCUGUGGGGAGGGCAGUGAUGGAUAUUUGUGUACAAUUAUGGAGAUGACAUGGGCAAGGGCGAUGAGCAGUCAACAGCCCAGAGGAGGCUUUGGGUGGGUCUGAUUGAAGGAAGGGGCCCAGAUAAUGGAACCUUGAGAAGUGGCCUCACUUCUUUGGUGACAGACCCCAACAGAACUUAGAACUUUGGUUACCAGGCACCCACAUUCUAGACACAGCCUCACAUCCAGCUCACUUGAAUGGAGGCACUCAAGAGAACAAGAUGUUUGCAUGUUGUGUCCCAACUUUCCGAAGCUCUGGCUUCUAGAAAUCUGACGAGAGCCUUUGUAGACAUUGAUUCAACUCUCACCUCUAACACCUCUGGCCUUUUGGCAGGAGGAACCCUCAGGCAACACAGGGCAACCCAGGGCAGGCCGCUCCAGGUCAGGUCACAACUGUGCUCCCACCUGGCCAGCCCCACACCCCUUGAUGCUCAAGGUGUGUGUGUGUGUUUGGGAGGUGCACUUAGGAAAGGUGGGGAUGAGGAGGGACACAUCCCGGGUAGGAGCAGGUAGUGAGAUGUUGGAAGUCUGGCAAUGGGUCAUCUUCAUACCCCACAUCUUGGCUGGCAGGGUAGGAAGUUGAGUGCUGGGGACCGAGCUCCUUUAUCCCUAUGUGAAUCCCAAGCCCACCAGGUGUCAUCACAUUCCAGCCCUGGCUGGAGGUCUAUGCAGGUGCCCCUCUGAGCCUGAUCUGUGGUGCGGGUUCCCCCUGGUGAGGUCCAGGCAGGCCCCUGAUCCCUCCUGGUCUUUCUCCCAGGCACUGUGUUUGCAGAGCUGCACCCACAAGAUGGUCACAUAGUUAGUGAAUGGUUUCGACUAUGCCGUCUCCCUGGACAGGGGGCGGGUGCUCCAGGCCACCAACAAUGACCCGGGCCGGGCUUAGUGCAGAGGGGUCUUCACACCCAGGACCCUGAGAUGACCGAGGCAGUACCAGAAUCCAGACCCAAAUCUGAGACUCCCCUGAGAUGCUCCCAGUGUUUUCUCACUAGAGUGUCCCACAGUCCCACUCCCAAAGGAAUCACGACCUCCCCUCCUCCCCACCAGCUACAUAGGCAGAAAGAAAGUAACCUCCAUCCUCCUAGUGGUUCACGGUGAUGCCACUGAUUUUUUGUGUGUCCCUCCUCCUUCCACCCAGAGUGAAGAUGACCCCUUUGUGAAUUUAAAUGAGGCCUGCAGGUGGCGGUCCCUCCAGCAGACCUGAUGGAGACUGACAAAGUCCAUGGCACCAGCUUUCCUAGGUAGAAACAUCUCAAAUGUCACCACCUUUGUGUUCAACUACUCGGCCUUCAACACAUCCCACCAGGUCCUGGACCAGCUGUUUACUGGGUGACUGCCCACUGCCAGCUGUAAUUCUUGUAAUGUCACUGCAUCUCCCUGAGCCUCACUUUGCUCCUCUGAAAAGUGGGGUGGGAGAGGAUAAACGUCAUGGGGUUCUUGGAGGGACUAAUGGGAUCAGCCAUGGCGGGUGCUGACCUGGUGCCUGGCUCUGCAGAUGUGGCUGUGGGGUGAGCUGUGGUUGUUCAUGGUUAUUAUUGGUUCUUCCUCAUGGAAAGUAGUCUGUCUCACCCGUCUCUGGGAUGUGGUCUUUCUGAGUUUGGCAAAGCACACGGACAGCACCCUGUCAAGGAGUUUGAGAUUCCAGAGAGAUGGUCCUGGUCCUUGUGCUUGGUGGGGCCAAUUAGGGAUGUCUGGGGAGCAGAGGGGCCCCAGGCCCACUCCGACAUCUGGGAUGCUUCUGGCUGGACUUCAUUCAUUCAACCAUGUAUGUGAAGCACCUACUAUGUGCAGGAUUUUUGGAGACACUUAGCAUAACUCAGUGAAUCCAGGUGUCCAACAGAUACAAUCCCUGCGUCUCAGUUGUAGUCUGAGAGUCAAAUAGUCACAUUAGACAUCAUUCGCAAGUCCUGUCAUCCAUCGCACAUCCCAAAUGGUGCUCUCGUCACCUCCUUUACAUCUGGAGGCAUCUUCCAUUAUCAAAACCAGGAGGGCAGACCACAGGAUGCCGGAAUAAAAUGAGUGGCCUCUGGGUCCAGAAGGAGGGCGCCCUGUCUCUACAGAACAGGGUUGGGGGAAAUGGGGGACUGUGGCUGGGGCCAGGCUGGCAAAACCCUGCAUCUCACACAUGUUUUGAUUCUCACUGGAAGGCUGAGGUCUGAUGGCUUCCAUUCCAGGAGGUCAGGAUUCAAAGACCUGUAGAUGGGUCCCAGGACCCCUGGGAACCAGAGUGGAGGCUGGGCUGGGCUGUCCCCUAGAGACCCAUCCCCACCAUAGUCCUAUCUUGAUCUGCCUCCCCUUCUCCACAUCCACUUCUUCGGACCACCCCCAGCAGGCCCAGAACAGGAGGUGUGUGAGCAACAUGGUCACACGUCUGCCUCAGUCCUCAGUCCAGUUGCAUAAAUGCAUGGAGGGCUGGGGUGGGCUUUGUCCAAGCCCUUCAGGAAGAGAGUGUCAGUGGGAAGAACAGACUCACACUGACUCUGUGUUCAACUUGCUGGUUGAGCAGUCCUGCCACCACCAGGACAGCCACACAGGGGCGGGACUGGGCCGGGGCUCUCCUCUGGAUGGGAAUGGGCGGGCACAGGGGCCCAGACCAAAUAAGGGCGCCUUCAGUGGGCAGUGUGGAGGGAAAGACCAGGCCUCUGACUCUGUUGCCCAAUGCCUUCCCCCAUUGCCGUCUCUUCGCAGAUGAAGCUGGCCCGUGUGCACGUGAGCUCGCCUACCUCAGAGCAGGAGGGCCACGCCUCCCUCCUCCCAGUCCAGCUGGAGUCCUCCAGAGCCCGUGGAGGCAGAGCUGGAAGGUGAGGGCCCUGCAGUGUGGGAAGACGAUUUGCAGGGGGUUCACGGGCUGGGUUCCCUUAAGGCAUUGGGGUCCUUCCUGUCUUUGGAAAGACUCAGGGGAGGUCAUCUACUUGAUGAUACUUUUUCUUUAUGCUGCUCCAGGACCAUCUCCAGAGCUCCCACCAGCUCCAGAGCCAGAGCAAGGGCCAGCUCCAUGGCCUGGGCCAACUCCAAUUCUAGUUCUACCACCUGUGCUAGAGCUGGAGCAAGUGUCACCUCCAUCAGUCCCCCCAGGGCCAGAGCCAUGCCAACAACAGCUCCAGCCCCAGUGCCAGAUCCAGCUGGAGCCCGCUGGACCCUUGUCUCCAGGGAGAACACUUCCUCCAUCUGGAGAGAUUACAUCAGAGCCCAUCCAGCCCAAGAGCCCACCUGCCCCCGGGCUGUGACCACCAAGAGCCUGCUGUGGGAGGAGAAGCCUGACUUCCUGGAGUUCCGUCCCCAGCUGAUUGCAGAGCAAUUUACACUGAUGGAUGCGGUGAGCAGCAGGGCUCUCAGGGCAGGUGGGGCGGGCCUUCCCUGUGCCAUCAGAGGCCCAAGACCUGCUGUUUCCUGAUCCAGAAUCCCAUGUCCUACAUUCAAUCCCAGCUUUCCCACUUACACACAUGUGCCCUGGGCAACCUCUUAACUCCCAAGCCUGUGCUGUCCGCAUGUGGACACUAGACAUGGACAAAAGAGCAUCUGCCAGGCAUAGCGGCUGUGCAGACGAAUGAGGCGGAACAGAGAGGAAGGUGGGCAGAGUCUGGCCCUUUGGCGGGGGAAGGGGAGGUCACUGAAGGGCUGUCAGGUCCUUGGGUGGGUCAUCCAUUUGCACAGGAGGCAUCAACAGCCUUAGCAAUUAUUAGGGACCUCAUAUGUAAUGACUACCUGGGAGACAAACAUACAAAGAUUGUGAUUGUUACUCCUUGGGAGGACUGCACAUCUGAAUGAGGAGUCGGGCCCCAGGGUGAUCAGAAAAGGUAGACGAUGCCCCUUGCGUUCGUCAAGUAUCAGCGGGGUUCUGGUGCCUGGAGUAGUGAGACUGGGCUGGGAGCGAAUGCCACUUUCCUUCCCCGCACUAUUGGUCCUGGGUCAUCCUGUGCUGGGUGCCCUCAGUGGGCACAGACAAAACCCAGGGACCCCCACAAGCCCCAGGCCACAUCCUCAGCUUCCUGAGCUCCAGCUCUGACCACUGACUCUGCCUGGGACUGUGGACUGUGGACAUGGAGCAGGCAUGUGACAGGGCUGGGUGACACUCUCUUCCUCCCCAGGAGCUGUUCAAGAAAGUGAUCCCCCCCACUGUCUGGACUCCGUCUGGUCCCCAUGGGACAGCAGGGGCAAUGAGCACCUGGCAUGCACCAUCCGUGCCACCAUCACCCAGUUUAUCACAGUGGUCAACUGUGUUGUCACCACCUGCCUGGGGGACCUGAGCAUGACAGCCCAGGACAGGGCCAGGGUGGUGGAGCUCUGGAUCCAGGUGUCCAAGGUACCUUCUGGGCGGCCCAGGGAGCCCCUCUCUGGAGUCAUGGAAACUGCCCCUUCUCCUUCCUCAGCUCUCAGGAUUGAAGUCUGUGCUCUGAGCCCUUGCACAGUCCCCAGGCCCCUCCUGCCGGGGCCUCACUGACCUUGACUCCUGUUCCCAGCGUGGGAAGCUCACUUCUUCCUGGGCUCCCUCCUUGGGUUGAGCUCAAAUUCUCCAACCUGGGAAUGCUACUCAUCAGGUCCCAGGGGUGCCCUCACUGGGUUCCUCAGCAUGCGUCUCAUCCAAGACAGGAGAUGUCCAUGAGGGAACAGAAGCCAGAGGCAGCAGGGCUCCAGCUCUCCUCACCAGCUCACUCUCUUCCCUGCCCCAGGAGUGCCAAGGCCUGAGGAACUUUGCUUCACUGCAUGCCAUCCUCUCUGCUCUGCAGAGCUGCACGAUCCAUCGGCUCAAAAAGACAUGGGGACACGUUUCCAGGUGGGUAGGCCUCUCUUCAUGUGAGCAUCACCUUGGAAGACCAGACACCCCCCAUAGUGCUGGCAUUGCCCCCUCAGUAAGCUGGCACCACCUGGGAGACAGCAAACCCUGGUGACAGAGACUCACCUGGCUGGCGGACUCUGAGUCUCUCUGGAAACUUAGGCCGGGGGCUUCUGCUUCAGGAAUCAGUGUCCCUGAACGUCAGGUCCUGGGUUGAGGCAAAUUGAAGAUUUUCAAGUAUUUGCUUUGCAGCAACAGAACUCUCCGUCCGGCUGAAACCACGACUGUUGAAAACACAUCUGCUGAGGAGUUACAGGAAUGGAGGCCCAGGUGACACCGGGAGAGCCCCCUCCCCAGUCCCGUGGAGACCCCAGGGCUCAGAGGACCCAGGGAAAACGCUCAUCCAGGAUGUUUGGAUAUUCUGGGUUUUCGAAGACACAGGAUUUACCCUUAAACCACUGCACAGGUUUUCAUUCCUUUUCCCCCCUCGGGAAGAGCUCUCAAAAAUUUUACAAAAUUGUGCACCAAGGACCAGCGGGUGAGCAGGAAGCUGCUCAUGGAGGAAGCCAGGCCCCUGCUGCUCCUUCUGUCUUUGCUGCACGUCCAAGGACAGGGCACCCUGCCAGCCCCUGAGGAAGCGACCUCUCUGUGGGAGACCCUGGAGAUGGAUCCCUGGAUAGCCCAGGAGAGGCAGCAGUGGCAGGGUGUCGUCCCCUUCCUGGGCUCACUCCUCGAUUACCUGCAGCUGCUGGACACUGAGAUGGAGGAUUAUCUGAAGGAGUGUGAGCAUGGAGAGGGGAACAGGGAAGAGGAUCCAGAGGUUUGGGAGGCGAGAGCCCUGCACUGGGCCCUGAGCUCUCAGCACUUGGCAAAGCUCCUCUCCUGAGAACCUCCUGGCAGCCCCUGGAGCUGGGGCCUCAGGCACAUCUUAGCAAUGUGAGACCCAAGGCUCUGCAUAAGCCCCCCUCCAGGCUCCCUGGGCUGGGGGAGCUCAGAGCUGCCUCACUACAGAGCUGCGGGAGGUGGUGUCAGAGCUGGACUCAGCCUCUCCCUCAAGCCCUGCCCCUGGGGGAGUGAAGUCAGCCCCUGCAAGUCAGGAAGCACAUCCGUGGUCCAGCUGUCCCUUCCUUUCUGAGGGCUCAGUCUCCCUGUCUGUCAUCAGAGAGGUUGGAGCUACAGAGUCUGUGGCCUCAGUGACCCUGCCCCCCCUGCGCUGGAGCCCAGAGCCUGGCCCAGGUUCAGGCUCUCCUUGAGGCAGUGUCUGCCCUCUGCUGGGUCCUGGCAGUCCUGCAACUUGGGAAGGGGUGGGCUGGGGGCUAGUCAUGGGCCAAGGGGGCUGUUUCUGAUGGACAUUGGCUGUCUGCCUUCGAGGGAAAUAUGGUGAACUUCCAGAAAUGGAGUGAGGUGAGCAGCCGUGCCCUCGAUGUGGGGAGGGUGGGGCUGUGGAAAUCAGAGACCUCCCCUGCAAGACUUUCUCUGGCCUCAUCCCUUGGGUCUUAUCUUUAUUGCGAGAGUUAGAUACAGGCAGCUGGGGAUCCCAUCACAUUGGUGGGUGGGAGGAGGGGCUGACAUCGAGGACACCUUCCUGGAUGAGGAACUAUUUCAACCCUACUGUGAGAACAGGCAAGUCCUGAAUGGAGUGGGAGGGAAGGAGGGUUCCCAAUGAGCAAAGACCCCAGAGCAGCUCCUCACUACCCACAAGUUCCUGGCUGGGUUCCCCCCAGGCCCUGUCUGCAUCCUGUCCUUCCUCCCAGAAAUUCCAGGUCAUUAAAAGGAUCCAGCUGCUCCAGGAGGCUGCCAAUGAAUGCCACCUGCAGCCCGAGGAGCACUUUGGGGCCUGGUUCCAGGCCAUGGAGCCCCUCCAUGAGGAAGAGAGCUACAGCCUGUCCUGCCAGCUGGAGCCCCCAAACAUGAAGGUGAGCAAAAUGCGAGGCUUCUUCAGGACCAAGAAGAACCGGCCAUCCUCAAGAUUGGGGCUGACUGCCAUGCCCUUGGCAAGGAGCCAUCACACUCUAGAUGCCACCACAAGCUCAGCCUCUUCAGGCGCAGGGACAUGGCUGGGACCCUCGUGGUGCACCAGGCCAGCUCUUCCCACCCGGAUGUGAAGGAGGACAUUCCUGGGAGUUGUGGUGUGGUUCAACUCCUGUGCUCAUAUAAAUGAGACACAGAACUUCACCUUCCUCCUUGAAUUAAGAACUGGUGCACGGUCACAGCUCAUUGUAUGUGGGACAAGGGAGGAAGGCCAGCCCCCUCCCUGGCAAGUUAAGGACCACCCAAGUCUCCCUUCCUUAGAGGACAGGUUCGUUUCAGUGUGGUUCCCCUGGGCCAGGAGUGGAGACAGCCCCUCAGAUCCCCCUGGAUUUAGAGGCCGGAGGGACUUUCCCAGCAGAGCAACCAGCACAGAAAUGUGGGUCUUUCAGAUGGCACUUGCCAGGACCAUGUCCUGCCCCGGGACAGUGGCUGCCUUUCUACAGCUUUUGAAGAAGGAAUGUUUUCUGCUUCUCUUGUGGAGCUUUCUUUUGAUCAAGUUUUGGAACGUGUAGUUUUCUAAUGAAUCUCUGGAAUUGCACUAACAGUAAAUGGGGAAAAAAUGUAAACAGAUAACUCUUUGCAUGUGGAAAGGACAAGGCCAGAGGAAGACCAUUUGCAGACGGACUAAGGGCAGGCAGGACAUCCCUCUGCAGGCCGCCUCUAGGGGCUCCCUGUUCACCCUUUACCUGGAUUGGACUCCUCCCGGGAUCCUGGUCCAUGAACUUGCAGGUCCUUUUCCUGCUUGUUUCCUAUCCAGAGGGAAAGAUUUGUGAUGCAGCUUUUAAAGCUACAACAGGGCUUUGUUGCAUAAGCGUCACUGCUCCCUGUGAACUAGAUUUCCAGCAUCCCUGCACUUCCUUCUACAAUUCUUUUUGGGCAGAAAUUCCCUAAGGCCCCAGCCUCUCUGUCAGGAACAUCGUGGCCAUUCCUACCUAGCCAGGCCUGAUGGAUCAGCCGUGAGCUCUGGUUUGCCCAGGAUAACGGACCUUAAUCCUGGGCAGUGCAUGACCCACACUCUCCCUUGCUGCCCAGGGUCCCAUGUGGUUCUGAGGUUCAUGCUCUCGGACAAACAAUAGUUUACACGCUCAGUCUUAUUGUUACCAGCUUGACCUAAAGGGUCAUCUGGGCUCAAUCCUAUAGAGCUUCUAGCCCCCAGGAUGGCUGUGUUCUUUUCCCCAGUCUUGUGCUGUGGUUAUGUGGUUAUGUGUUAUGGGGAUGUGAAACUUUCCUGUUGGGAGUUUUGAAAGAUAAGGCAUGAGAGGUGCCAGUAUAGAGAUGGGUCUAGCAGGGGAAUGCCACCAAACUGAUGAACAUGGGCCUACACACAACAACCUUACCAAUUCAAAUACUGAAACGCUUCCCAUCUGGGUAGUGAAGAUAUGAGCUCACCCUGAGAACCCGCCUCAUGACCAGGAGCUACAGGGUUAUCACCUGGCAUUUUGAACGUCAUCCCCUGAAACACUGUAAGACAAGGGCCACAUGAAUUCCUUGGUAGUUCUUCCUCCUCCUCGCUGAAGGCUGCAAGUGUCACCCUGGGAGGCCCUUUCAGUUCAGCCACAAGCCGAGUAUAAAUCCCGCUUCCGGCAGCCCAGGCCCUUCCUGACAGGGCACAGCCAUCCAGGAAAGAAAUAAUUCACAUAUUGGUGUAGACACAUAAACACACACACGCAUAUCCCACCCAAAGCCCAAGAUGCAUGAACUUCAGAGAUGAAAAGUGACUUCAGAAACAGAUCAACCAAUUGCAAACGAAGGGUUUCAUUAAGAUCCUGACUCAAAUAAAAUGUAAAACCAAGAAACAACCUGGAGAAAACUGGGAGACUUUGGAGGCUGACUAGGUAGUUGAUUAUAGGAGUGACAUUUUUACUUUUGUGUGUGAUAACUUUGUUGUGUUUGAGUCCCAAAAAUCUCUCAUCUGUAAGAGAAACUGAUAUAUUUACACCUGAAAUGAUGUGCUCUCGGCAUCUACAGCUGGCUAAUUCCAGGGGGUGGGUGUAAAGAUAAAGCCAGAUGGUUUAUGAGUUGACAAUCUCUGAUGCAAGUGACAGGUUCACAGAGGUUGAUUUUCCCUACUCUGAGAUUUGGAGAUUUUUGAAAACUUUCAGAAGACAAGUUUCAUAAAAAUAGUAUAAUCACUGUUCACAUUACAAUGUUAAAAAUGAAAACAUUGCAAAUAUGAAGAAAUGCUUCUUCUUCCCGACCUGGGGAAGCUCUGUCUGUCUGGCUUCUGUGAAUGACCUGAUGAUGCCACUGAUUAUUCAUUUAUCUCAUGUUUAUUGAAUAAGUACUAUGUGCUCUGUACUGCGAGCAAGGUGAAUGCAUUUCCACAUCUCCAGAUCUAGUGUGGGAAUGAAGGCACUGAGCCGGCUGCCAAGAUUCUCUACGUGGAAAAUAAUGCCCCACGGGGCAUGGUCAUUGUUAAGAUUCCAAAAUCAAAGCUAGACAAGUUUGCCAUGGAACAAAUCAGAGGUACUUAAUUUAUGAUAUAGAAAUUACCUAUGUCUGAAUUAACAUGUGACAAAGGCUGAAGGAUUUUGUUAAAAUUAGAUGCAAAAUCAUAAUUUAUGAAAUCAGAUUUCAUAUCACAUUAAGAGAUAAAUCUCAUUGAGUAGGUAUUAUCUGUUCAUUGAGUGUAGAAAAAACAAAUGUAAGUUCAAAACACUAAUUCCUCAGCCUCAAUUAUCCUAUUGAUUUUAAUAUAAACAGGAAGAAAAAUCAUGGUAAAUAAAAAUCGAGGUUACCCAUGAAAGGUAAGGAUCAUGAUGGAUGUUACAAAGAGAUGCUGUGGGGGUCAAGGCUGUCUCCUGGUGGAUUUCUCACUGCACCACUCUCCUUUCCUUCAGCACCAAUAUCGCUUUCCUCACGGUGUUUUCAGGUGCCUUUCUUGGCUCUUGCUCUCUCUGCCUCCCUGGCAAACUCCUCUGUUCUCAAGCCAACAGUCAGUCUUUCCCAUGCUUUUCUUCACUUGCAACAUCUGUCUCCUAAUAUCUCCAGAAGUUGCCUGUUGCCUGUUGCCUGCAGAGGGGCUGGGAGAGACCCAGACCCGUUCCUGGACUCAUCUCUGCCCAAUACGGACACUGGUCAGGAGUGGGCUAGGGUUGGUGUGCAGAUCCCUCAGCUCAAGCCAUGGCCCAGGGAUUCACCUAGACCACCUGGUGCAAUUAUCUUUAAGAUAUUUGUGAAUCAGAAGGACUUAAAAGUUCUCCUUCGCUGCUGCCAGCCUUGAGGCCCUGCAGUCUCUCCUCUCCACAGACUCACCGGGGCUUCUCCAAGGUCUCCUCCCACUGACGGCCCCUGACCUCACGGCCAGGAUGGGAAGUUAUCCGACUACCUGGCCUCUGGAAUAUGCAGCUGCUCAGCCUUCAGUGUGUACAGAGCUGCAGGUUUCUGCUUGGUUUUAGUUUUGUUGUCUCAUUGUUUCCACCAUGAAAUUGGGGCAUAUUUUUUGAACUUUCUCUUUAAAAAUAAAAUGUGAAAUUUGAACAAAAUGGGGGAUGAAGACUACCAUCCAUGGAGAAUGUUCUCAGCUCAUUUGGCUAUUCCACCCUCCUUCCCUCCCUGGAGAAUGUGUCUCAAAUGUGAAUCACAACCAUCUGGAGGGUUUUUAAAACUCAGAUUGCUGGACCUCAACUCAAGUCAAUCUGGGGUGGGAAUGGAGAAUGUUCAUUUCUAAGAUGUUCCCAGGUGACAUUGAUGCUGCUAGUAUAGGUACCACAUGUUGAGAAUGGGAUUCUGGGACAUCAUCAAGCCCAUGUGAGACAAGGACAGAAAGUUCAAGGUCAUUAUCCAAUGUCAAAUCCAGACAAACCUCCCUCCUCCAUCUUGCUUCAGGAUGUUACUCUCUCCCCUUCUCCGUCAUUGUCAACUACACACAUUCUGGUACCAAGUAACCCACUAUCAUUAGGACUCAGUGAUCCAAGGGCCCCGUAGCUCCUUUUAGAGUGCCAUCUCUAAUGAAAUCACGCACUAUUCCACCCUUAGACACCCUCACUCCACAGCAAAAUCCUGUCUUAACCCCAAAUUCUCCUGCUCACAAAUCAGGAACUCAAACAGCACAUUCCUACCACAAAUUUCCACAGUUCCUGUUUUUACACAAAGAACCCUAAUGUAAAUAACCAACCUUCAAGAAAACAGUUUACUCCAGUAUGAAUAUCUUCACAAGGCUCUCUUCUUUCUCUCUUCCUAUUCCUUUCUUUCAAUCUUGGUUUCUGUGGUCCAUCAUUUCAAUCAUCCACUGACCAUGCUCCCAGAUUCAUCACUCCCAUCACAUUGGCCCUGUAAGCCUCUGACUUUGGAUAAUUUCAAAUACCUGCCAUGCCACGUUGACACCUGCACUGAGGAUCACCAGCGAAGAGAGAGCACACGAGGAGUCUGUGG